GGAAGUAAAAGCGUAACAAGGUUUCCGUAGGUGAACCUGCGGAGGGAUCAUUAUUGUAUAACCGAGGUGCGAGGGCUGUCGCUGACCCGAAAGGUCGUGCACGCCCGAGUGCCCUCACACACAUCCAUCUCACCCCUAUGUGCACCACCGCGUGGGUCCCCCUUUGGCUUGUUCGGAGGGGGGCUUACGUUUUCACACAAACUUUGUAUGCAGUGUAGAAUGUAUUUUUUGUUUUUGCGAUCACGCAAUCAAUACAACUUUCAACAACGGAUCUCUUGGCUCUC
RNAcentral lists this unclassified non-coding RNA (284 nucleotides) under plant metagenome. RNAcentral describes it as "partial contains small subunit ribosomal RNA, internal transcribed spacer 1, and 5.8S ribosomal RNA". The stretch from base 1 to 53 matches the Rfam family "Eukaryotic small subunit ribosomal RNA", at positions 1778 to 1831 of the family's 1831-position model. The record is from RNAcentral.